AAGUUUAUUAUAUUAUUUUUUAUGUUUGUUUAUUUCAUUAUUUAAUAGAAAUAACUUUAUUUUAUUUUGUCUUAGUAUAUUUUUGAUGAAUUGAUUAUAAUUAUUAUAGUUAAUUAGUAAUGUAACUGGAUUAUGAAAUAUUAUUUUAAAUUAAUAAAAGUAAAUUUUUUUUAUUGUACCUUUUGUAUCAGGGUUUAUCAAUAUUUUAGUAUAUAUAUAUAUUACUCUCGAUUUAGGUUGAUUUACAAACAAAUUAUAGUUAAUGUAUCAUAAUUAUUAGCAAUUUGUUUAUGGAAAUGAAAUGUUAUUCGUUUCCUAAGGUUUCUAGUUUCUUAAGAAAAAAUUUAAUUUUUUAGGUUUAGUGUUUUAUUUAAUUUUUUAAUUAUUAAUAUUAAACUAUUUAUUUUUUAGGGGAUAAGCUCUAAAACUAAUAUUCUAUAAUUUAUUUAAUCUUAAUAUAAUAAUAAGCUUUAAAUCAGCUAUUUUUGAGAUUACGUUUUAGUUCAUUAUUAUUAAUUAUGAUUUUAUAAUUAUUUUAGAUUUUUUAUUAAGAUAAUUAAUUUAAUAUUUAAAUGUUUGUAAUAAUGAUGGAAUUAGUAUAUUUAUUUUGUUUAUAAUAUUUUUUAUUAUAAAUUUAUUAUAAGGAACUAGGCAAAUUAAUUUCCGCCUGUUUAUCAAAAACAUGUCCUCUUGAUAAUAUUUUGAGGUCUGGCCUGCUCACUGAAAAUUUUAAAGAGCCGCGGUAUUUUGACCGUGCAAAGGUAGCAUAAUCAUUAGUCUCUUAAUUAGAGGCUGGAAUGAAUGGUUUGACGAGAAAUUAACUGUCUCUUAAUAAAUUUUAAAAUUUAACUUUUGAGUUAAAAGGCUUAAAUUUUUCUUAAGGACGAGAAGACCCUAUAGAGCUUAACAUCUAAAUUAGAUAUUUUUUUAAGAUUGUCUUUUUAUAUUUAAUGGUAAUGUUUUGUUGGGGUGACAUGAAGAAUUAAUAAACUCUUUAUUAUAAAAUCAUUAAUUUAUGUUUAUUUUGAUCCAUAAUUUAUGAUCAUAAGAUCAAGUUACCUUAGGGAUAACAGCGUAAUUGUUUUUUAGAGCUCAUAUUGACAAAGCAGAUUGCGACCUCGAUGUUGGAUUAAGAAAAAUUUUGGGUGCAGUAGCUCAAUGAUUAGGUCUGUUCGACCUUUAAAUUCUUACAUGAUCUGAGUUCAGACCGGCGUGAGCCAGGUCGGUUUCUAUCCUAAGAUUUAAUAAAUUCAUAUUAGUACGAAAGGACCUUAUGAAUGGAAUAUUUUUUCUAUUUUGAUUAAAGUUAAUUGUU
RNAcentral lists this ribosomal RNA (1315 nucleotides) under Chorthippus sp. AHNU01. RNAcentral's name for it is "16S ribosomal RNA". The stretch from base 532 to 1315 matches the Rfam family "Archaeal large subunit ribosomal RNA", at positions 1423 to 2810 of the family's 2987-position model. Lineage: Eukaryota; Metazoa; Arthropoda; Insecta; Orthoptera; Acrididae. The record is from RNAcentral.